CGCGGAGGAAAAGGCCGCGGCGGAGAAGGUGGCGAAGGAGAAGGCGGCGAAGGAGACGGCGGCGAAGGAGAAAGCAACGAAUGAACAGGUGCGGAAGGAUGAUGAGACG
RNAcentral lists this non-coding RNA (109 nucleotides) under Gymnodinium catenatum. Lineage: Eukaryota; Dinophyceae; Gymnodiniales; Gymnodiniaceae. The record is from RNAcentral.